Passer domesticus (house sparrow) is the source of this 1850-nucleotide long non-coding RNA. RefSeq lists it as uncharacterized. The transcript has 6 exons. The record is from RefSeq and is a predicted model, not a curated record. Lineage: Eukaryota; Metazoa; Chordata; Aves; Passeriformes; Passeridae.
CUUGUUUUGAGGUUGAAUUAAACAUUUUAAUCCACUGUGAAUGCUCCCUUACCAAAAACCAGUUUAACUGUUUUAGGUUGACUUGUAACAAAAAAAAAACGUCUUCUCAGUAUCACCAACGAACUGACUGAAUCCCUAACUCAUACAGCUCCAGGGAAAGACCUGGUUUGAGUCACAGAGUGGAUAAUUGACUCGAUGCUGCAUUUGACUUUGGUGAUCCUCAGAGAGAGAGGACAUUUGAGUCAGCUACAGUUGGGUGACAUUGUCAAGUGCCCAGCCAGCCGUGCCAGGGGCACAGGUGUGGUUGGCAGUGCCUGUUCACAUCCAGAUCUUAAGCUCUGCCGCAGCAGCCUCUUAUUUCUGUGCCCAGGGGCAGGAGACUUACCAUUCUUCUGAAGGACAAUAAGCAAAGAGAAAUCAAAGUGCAGAAGGGAAGAUAUAAGCCAAGAUGAUGCAGGGAAAAAAAAUGGAGGAAAACAUAGAGACAGAAGGAAGGACUGACUGCCAUAAAGCAAAGGAAAACUUUCAAAGUGUAGUGUAAAGGAUGUCCCUACCUGGAAGACUCAGCUGGGGGGGAAUGGACCUGCAGGAGCUGCAGGGAAGUGACUGCAUUGCCUUCAGGCUGAACAGGAAGCUGAUCACAGAUUUCCCAUUUCCUAGGCAAUGUAUUUCAGGCUGCAAUUAAGACCUGGCAGUGGAAAAAAGAACAAUAACAAGAAAUUGAAUCAGUCAUUUGUUUGAAAGUAAGACAAAAGCAACGUAACAUCCUUUUCCUCGCCAGGAAGUUAUCACUGUCAAAUUUGGAACAGGCUAACCUCCUUCCUACAGGAUUGCUUUUGUGCCAGAUCUGCUGUAUUACUCUCUGCUCUUCAUUGCUGGAGUCCACACUGACCCAGCUAUCACAUAAUUAUGAAAAACAGGACAUGAGCAACAAUAACUACAAAGGCCCAGAAAGGAAGUUACAGCAUCAUGACCAUUUGCCACUUAUACAAAGACUUGCUCCAGGAAGACAGAUGCACGGCUUGGGAAAUGCUGUGCUGCUGUGGGACUCAGAGGAGCUCAUCCAGUGCAUCGUUUGUCCAGAUUCCAGACUUGAAACAACGUCUAGAGGAAAUGUAACAGUCUGUGAUAUUCAGAGGAGACUAGACAGCCCAGAAGCCUUCCUGCUUUUAGAGUGUGUGACAAUUUGUUCUUUGAUUUUUUUCAUGUUAAGUUUCUCACCACUGCAAAGCAAGGAAGAAGCAAUGAAGCUGGGAGCAGUGCUCAUGCUGACAUGUUUUGAAACAGCAGUCUCUUGUAAAUUAAUGAAGGCCCCACUUGACACCUCACAAACAGGGCAGGAGGCAUGCUGCUACGCACAUUCAUGCCCCUCUAUUUAAUGCACCAAGCUUGUCACUCAAGUCCCUGACCUGGGAGUGAGCUGCCCCUGACCUGCAUGCAGCAGGUGAAUCCCCUGGGAGAUGGGCUUCUUGCUUGGAGCCCACACUGCUGGCUUGUUCAGGAAAGAGACAGAGAGCACACACCCCCUUCUAUCAUCUGGAAGGGAGAUCCUACAAGGAAUCCCUGACUCUCCAGGCCAAGGUACAACUUGUAUGUGUGACUCUGAGUGCAUACAGGUGCCAUGAGAUACAGCCCUUUCCAGCCUGGCUUUCGUGGGUGAUGCAGUGUCACUGAAGGAGCAGGCGUGGGUCCCAGCAGGCAUCAGGGAAUGUCUGUGCCUCUGGGGAACUCAGACUGAGCAUCAGUCAGACCGUGUCUGCAGAAGUGUUAUAGCCCAAUACAUACAAGCCUCUGCGGUGGCUUGGUUCCCGUGUGCCCACAUUGCCCAAAGCCCCUGUGGCAGGUGUGUC